ACAAUAUAUAUAUAUAUACCACACACAAACGCAAUAUUGUAUAUUGUCGAAAUAUCAGCUAAAGGAUUUAAUGUGGCAACUUCACUACGCAUGUACCAACUUAAAAGAUAAAAACGAAAUUGCUAUCAUACAUCAAUGUGGGUGGAAUGCACAACGUUAUACGUUUGUACUUAUUAGUAAGCAACUUUCUACGAUUUUUGAAAAUCAUUAUUCUAAUAUGUAUUUACUACAAAUUCUGCACUGGAAAAUCAAUUCUAAUUGACCACAGAAAAAAUUAUAUAUAUUAUAUAUUUAUACUAUAUAACAUUUAGCACGUUACCUAUUAUAAGAAUUGCUAAUUUAAUAAGAAAUAAAAAAGGUACAAAAAAAUUCAACUACAACUUGCGAUUGCUGAUAUGUUGUAUCCAUUUACAUUACAAAAUAUUUAAUGACAAUAAUAUAUCUAACAACAUAAAAUAAGAUAAACUUAAACAAGAAUUCUUAUUCUCUUGCAGUAUUCUUCUUUAACGGAGUAUUCGUUUUUUUUGUCAGCCACUUUGCAACAACUUUUCUUGACGUCAUUUCACCUAUAAAUGGAUCCCAACCACAUCGAAUAUACAUAGCGACCGAAUAUUUUAUUGAUGAACAAAAUAUUUCUAUUUAAUUUUGCUUCACAUGUAUACAGCCCUUUUCAUUGGAACAUUCUCAGGGAUAGCGAUAGAAGCACUGAUGAUUGCGUAUCUGCAGCAUACAUGCGGAAUGUUUAGAAUUGCCUGGUAUGAAGUUGGGCACAAGUACGGCCACAAAAAUUUGGCGAAACAAUGUUUAUCGUUUAAAAUUAGAAAACUGUUACGGAAAACGAUAUACUCUGAAUAUACAAUGAAAAAGAAAGUUGUUCUUUAAAAACACACAUGUUCGUUACAGUUAUCGUAUCGAACACGCAAUGGAAAUUAAUAUACUAAAAAAUAUUAGUUUAAAUAGCGGAUCUUUGAUAUCAAAAAGAAUAGUUUGUGUCGUAGAUAUCCAUCGAGAAGCCAUGAAGUUAGUAUAAGAACUUCUUAGAAGCCUUGUAUAAUUGUUUUAAAAACUUUACUAUACAAGAACUUUACAAGAAUGAACAUAUGAAUCAUACACAAAAAACAGUCUUUAAUAAGAUUGUUAUAUGAUUCGACAAUUUGAUCUCAUGAUAUAUUUAUUCAGAAAUUUACGUUUAUUCAGAAAAUAUUAAUACUCGUAUAAAAUACUAAGUAAUGUAUAUUAUAUGCAGUCUUUUUUUAUAUUUAAAGAUUGUCCGAGCUUUUAACAUCCAGAUUUGACACGACAUACUUCAGUUUAACAGUGCUCUCAGUGAUUACGUUGAGCCUCAAUCCUUUUCAGGUAAAUCUGAAUUUUAUAAAUUGUUUACAUGUAUUCUCCAACUAUUCCUUGGAAUUUCAUUUCAUUGUUUUACAUUGCAAAAGAAUUUUUCUCUGCUGGUAUCAAUAUGUUUAACAAAAUAAUAACAUGUAACAUUUUCGUGCGUCAGCAUACAUCAAUUUACACAGAUUUAAAAAAAUAAAAAUAAGAAAGAAGAAGAAACGGUUUAACGUGCAUUGCAUAUUAAAUGACGCUGUACAAGAAUAUAACAAUACUAGCAUCCCCUGUCAUGGCUUUGCCCGCGAUAUUUGUGUGUAGAACUCGAAAUGUACAAAACUUUAUUAUAACUUUUUCACCCGUUAGGGGUGGAAUUUCAGAAAACCCUCCUUUAGUGAGCACCUACAUGAUAGUAGAAAUAUACCCUUAAAAUUUCAAGUCGAUAGGUGCAGUGGUUCGGGCUGCACGUUGAUGAAAUGAUGAUAUAGAUAGAUAAUUGACUCUACAAAAACCAAUUACAUUAUUUUAAUUCGUGAUUUAGAUUUCUCAGAUUGUAACAUCUAAAGACGAUGCCAUGGAAGUUUUAAUCCCUAUGAUAACUGUAGCCAUUCUUACUGUGUAUGUGAUCUUGGCCAAUUUCUUUGGGCAAGAUGUAACGGAUCAGAAUAAUGAAAUAUAUAUUUCCGCGUAAGAGACGCAUUUUAUGAAAUGCAAUUAUCUACGAACCUUCUUCUUGUUAUCUUUUAUAUAACAAUUAUCAUUUUGAUAAUUUCCAUUAUAAAAUAUAUAACAUUUUUUAAUACUCAUUUUAUUUGUUAAAUUGUCAAAGCAGCGUCCAUGCAUAUAUAGAUACAAUAUUCUCUUAUAGGUACAAUAUUCAAUGGUACAAGUGUCCUCAACGAAUACAAAAAUUGAUACUGUUGCUUUUACAAAGGAGGUCUAAAGAAUUUCAUUUAACCUGCGGUGGAUUGUUUAUAGCAUCGUUCGAGUUACUCGCAACGGAUCAAUCUAUCAGCCACGUUGGAUUGCGGCUUGGGACAAUCAUUUAUCCGAUCGUGGAAUAACGCGUGUCGUUACGGAUCAAGCAACCGCUAAUGAUCGAUGAACUGCUCUACAUGGGAACGUUUUCCAAUUCGACAUUUCGUUAUCCAGAUUACUGGAGCAACCAUCUCUCGUUACGGAUUGAUUACUCAAACAUAUCACAUUUUUUUGCGUGGACAACACAUCCUUAGUAGCAUUUCAUUCUACAUAUCUAUAAGUAUACAACAUCAGAUAAAUGAAUAGAUUAAUAGGUUAAAAAUAUUUUAUAUUCCUAUGUAUUAUGUAUCGUAUUAAUAAGUUUCUGAUUUUCUAUUUUCAUUUUGAACAUUAUUUUUAACAUUACAAUCUUUAUUAUUGAUAGUAACAUAACAUCGUUGUAAUAAUCAUUCGACUUAAGCGGUUUCCCGAGCAAAGUAAUAUUAUUUUCGCUUGUACCAAUUCUGAAUACCGGAUUCAGACGCGUUUAUGGCAGGAGCAAUCCUGCAAUUGGGGUCACUGAAGCAUCAUAAUUGGAUUCGAUUGUCUGGAGAGCAGGAAUAUGCAAAUGAAUCCAUACUCCGCGCCAACGUCCCAGCGCUUAUUUCUGAUCGACGAUGUGAAUGGGAAAUAAAAGCGAAGGAGUCCGCGCUUUAAAUCCUACGUAACACCAUUAUCAAUGGGAAAGUCACCACAAUUUACAUAGCAAUUCGACACAUUGAAGUACUGGAAUUUUAGCGAUUUUUCAAAUGUCUCGCUUUUUGAACAUCUCUUCUAUUAUACAUAUUCCUCGUUAAAUUCUGAUGUCCACAAAUUUCCGCGAGAAUUCUUUUUCAUGCCAUUCAAUGUGAAAAACGUGGAGCAAUCGCGAAAGCGACAGCAUCAGAAAUGACAGUUAUUUGCGUUCGUAUAAUAAUAUAUCGCCGAUUAUGUUGAAGCUUGUCGCGAAAUGUACACUUUGUUAGUUGGACUUUCAAAAUCGCAAUAUGAGACACUGCUUUCCCGCGGCAUAUACGACCGUUUUACAAGCUAUCUAUUUGAAUGCAAACAGGUAAAGGAGAAUGUUAUCGAUAAAACGCUCGGGAUUCGCGUUCGCACGCGAUAAAGGCGGAUUGCCGCAGCUGUUCACUAGCCUCUCCGAUAAGAUGUCAAGUAACGUAAUGGGUUUCGUCGGAAAAGAUCAGGAGCUGUUCCGCAAUUUAGAUUAGAUCGAGUCGUCAAAGUUGACGAUAAAAGAGUUUAACGACGACCUUCCGCAUCGAUGCGAAGAUGAACAAGCAGAUGAAAUCGUGGAGUUGAACUUUAUGGAGUGAGAACUUUAAUGACUCAAUAUGUCAAACUUAUGUUCUGCUAAUGUACACAGGUACGUAAUACACACCUAGCCAGAGAACGUAGUGUACAUUCAAGACACAAUUUAAUUAUAUUUUAGGAUACAAACGACGUUCAGAUAAACCGACAAUUAUAAGUAUAAAUUUUUUUCCUUUCCAUGUAUCUCCUAUAAUGCUUUGUUCAUUGUAAGCGGAAUUUUGCAUCGCGGGAAACCGCUCAAAAAUUCCAUAAAUGUAUAAAAUCCGCCCUCGUAAAAGCGGAUCUUUCCUUGCGAGAAGAGGAAAGGAGAGAAGAGGGAAUAGGGCUGCGACCCGGUGAAAGAAUAAUCCUUUUGCACUUUGAGGUAUCGCUUAGACACGCUUCGAGCUUCACUCUCUCUUCCUCCCCGCGCCCCGUUCAGCGUACGGUCGAUGGACCGUUUAAUAUUUAAGAUGUGCUUCUCUCGCCACCAGAUGAUACUCCACGUGUAUCUCGCGCACUUAAAUCCGGACGCAGUUUGUGCUCGCUGCGUUUUACGUCACGAGUACAACGUGACUCGAGUGCGGAACGAGUGCGAGCCGAAAGACAAAAACGUGCCUAAUAGCGCUUCCUUCUUACACUUGAACCCAACGUUUGCCAUGUCCCUAUUGAAGUGUACUUAGAUCUCAAAAUCUAAAAUCUAAACAUUAAAUGCAAAA
This is a long non-coding RNA of Ooceraea biroi (clonal raider ant), 4355 nucleotides long. RefSeq lists it as uncharacterized. NCBI's taxonomy places the organism in Eukaryota, Metazoa, Arthropoda, Insecta, Hymenoptera, Formicidae. The record is from RefSeq and is a predicted model, not a curated record.